This 2547-nucleotide ribosomal RNA is filed under the name Escherichia coli HVH 28 (4-0907367). Its description in RNAcentral is "bacterial LSU rRNA". It matches the Rfam family "Bacterial large subunit ribosomal RNA", at positions 398 to 2925 of the family's 2925-position model. The record is from RNAcentral. Lineage: Bacteria; Pseudomonadati; Pseudomonadota; Gammaproteobacteria; Enterobacterales; Enterobacteriaceae.
UGUGAGCUCGAUGAGUAGGGCGGGACACGUGGUAUCCUGUCUGAAUAUGGGGGGACCAUCCUCCAAGGCUAAAUACUCCUGACUGACCGAUAGUGAACCAGUACCGUGAGGGAAAGGCGAAAAGAACCCCGGCGAGGGGAGUGAAAAAGAACCUGAAACCGUGUACGUACAAGCAGUGGGAGCCUCUUAAUGGGGUGACUGCGUACCUUUUGUAUAAUGGGUCAGCGACUUAUAUUCUGUAGCAAGGUUAACCGAAUAGGGGAGCCGAAGGGAAACCGAGUCUUAACUGGGCGUUAAGUUGCAGGGUAUAGACCCGAAACCCGGUGAUCUAGCCAUGGGCAGGUUGAAGGUUGGGUAACACUAACUGGAGGACCGAACCGACUAAUGUUGAAAAAUUAGCGGAUGACUUGUGGCUGGGGGUGAAAGGCCAAUCAAACCGGGAGAUAGCUGGUUCUCCCCGAAAGCUAUUUAGGUAGCGCCUCGUGAAUUCAUCUCCGGGGGUAGAGCACUGUUUCGGCAAGGGGGUCAUCCCGACUUACCAACCCGAUGCAAACUGCGAAUACCGGAGAAUGUUAUCACGGGAGACACACGGCGGGUGCUAACGUCCGUCGUGAAGAGGGAAACAACCCAGACCGCCAGCUAAGGUCCCAAAGUCAUGGUUAAGUGGGAAACGAUGUGGGAAGGCCCAGACAGCCAGGAUGUUGGCUUAGAAGCAGCCAUCAUUUAAAGAAAGCGUAAUAGCUCACUGGUCGAGUCGGCCUGCGCGGAAGAUGUAACGGGGCUAAACCAUGCACCGAAGCUGCGGCAGCGACACUAUGUGUUGUUGGGUAGGGGAGCGUUCUGUAAGCCUGUGAAGGUGGCCUGUGAGGGUUGCUGGAGGUAUCAGAAGUGCGAAUGCUGACAUAAGUAACGAUAAAGCGGGUGAAAAGCCCGCUCGCCGGAAGACCAAGGGUUCCUGUCCAACGUUAAUCGGGGCAGGGUGAGUCGACCCCUAAGGCGAGGCCGAAAGGCGUAGUCGAUGGGAAACAGGUUAAUAUUCCUGUACUUGGUGUUACUGCGAAGGGGGGACGGAGAAGGCUAUGUUGGCCGGGCGACGGUUGUCCCGGUUUAAGCGUGUAGGCUGGUUUUCCAGGCAAAUCCGGAAAACCAAGGCUGAGGCGUGAUGACGAGGCACUACGGUGCUGAAGUGACAAAUGCCCUGCUUCCAGGAAAAGCCUCUAAGCAUCAGGUAACAUCAAAUCGUACCCCAAACCGACACAGGUGGUCAGGUAGAGAAUACCAAGGCGCUUGAGAGAACUCGGGUGAAGGAACUAGGCAAAAUGGUGCCGUAACUUCGGGAGAAGGCACGCUGAUAUGUAGGUGAAGCGACUUGCUCGUGGAGCUGAAAUCAGUCGAAGAUACCAGCUGGCUGCAACUGUUUAUUAAAAACACAGCACUGUGCAAACACGAAAGUGGACGUAUACGGUGUGACGCCUGCCCGGUGCCGGAAGGUUAAUUGAUGGGGUUAGCGGUAACGCGAAGCUCUUGAUCGAAGCCCCGGUAAACGGCGGCCGUAACUAUAACGGUCCUAAGGUAGCGAAAUUCCUUGUCGGGUAAGUUCCGACCUGCACGAAUGGCGUAAUGAUGGCCAGGCUGUCUCCACCCGAGACUCAGUGAAAUUGAACUCGCUGUGAAGAUGCAGUGUACCCGCGGCAAGACGGAAAGACCCCGUGAACCUUUACUAUAGCUUGACACUGAACAUUGAGCCUUGAUGUGUAGGAUAGGUGGGAGGCUUUGAAGUGUGGACGCCAGUCUGCAUGGAGCCGACCUUGAAAUACCACCCUUUAAUGUUUGAUGUUCUAACGUUGGCCCCUAAUCGGGGUUGCGGACAGUGUCUGGUGGGUAGUUUGACUGGGGCGGUCUCCUCCUAAAGAGUAACGGAGGAGCACGAAGGUUGGCUAAUCCUGGUCGGACAUCAGGAGGUUAGUGCAAUGGCAUAAGCCAGCUUGACUGCGAGCGUGACGGCGCGAGCAGGUGCGAAAGCAGGUCAUAGUGAUCCGGUGGUUCUGAAUGGAAGGGCCAUCGCUCAACGGAUAAAAGGUACUCCGGGGAUAACAGGCUGAUACCGCCCAAGAGUUCAUAUCGACGGCGGUGUUUGGCACCUCGAUGUCGGCUCAUCACAUCCUGGGGCUGAAGUAGGUCCCAAGGGUAUGGCUGUUCGCCAUUUAAAGUGGUACGCGAGCUGGGUUUAGAACGUCGUGAGACAGUUCGGUCCCUAUCUGCCGUGGGCGCUGGAGAACUGAGGGGGGCUGCUCCUAGUACGAGAGGACCGGAGUGGACGCAUCACUGGUGUUCGGGUUGUCAUGCCAAUGGCACUGCCCGGUAGCUAAAUGCGGAAGAGAUAAGUGCUGAAAGCAUCUAAGCACGAAACUUGCCCCGAGAUGAGUUCUCCCUGACUCCUUGAGAGUCCUGAAGGAACGUUGAAGACGACGACGUUGAUAGGCCGGGUGUGUAAGCGCAGCGAUGCGUUGAGCUAACCGGUACUAAUGAACCGUGAGGCUUAACCUU